UACGUAGGGUGCGAGCGUUGUCCGGAAUUAUUGGGCGUAAAGGGAGUGUAGGCGGUUUCCUAAGUCUUCUGUGAAAUCUACGGGCUUAGCCUGUAACGUGCAGAGGAAACUGGGAGACUUGAGUGUCGGAGAGGAUAGGGGAAUACCCGGUGUAGAGGUGAAAUUCGUAGAGAUCGGGUGGAACACCAGUGGCGAAGGCGCCUGUCUGGCUGACAACUGACGCUGAGACUCGAAAGCAUGGGGAGCAAACAGG
This 253-nucleotide ribosomal RNA is filed under the name uncultured bacterium. Its description in RNAcentral is "partial 16S ribosomal RNA". It matches the Rfam family "Bacterial small subunit ribosomal RNA", at positions 524 to 776 of the family's 1533-position model. The record is from RNAcentral.